GAUGAACGCUGGCGGCGUGCCUAAUACAUGCCAGUCGAGCGAACAGACGAGGAGCUUGCUCCUCUGACGUUAGCGGCGGACGGGUGAGUAACACGUGGAUAACCUACCUAUAAGACUGGGAUAACUUCGGGAAACCGGAGCUAAUACCGGAUAAUAUAUUGAACCGCAUGGUUCAAUAGUGAAAGACGGUUUUGCUGUCUCUUAUAGAUGGAUCCGCGCCGCAUUAGCUAGUUGGUAAGGUAACGGCUUACCAAGGCAACGAUGCGUAGCCGACCUGAGAGGGUGAUCGGCCACACUGGAACUGAGACACGGUACAGACACCUACGGGAGGCAGCAGUAGGGAAUGUUACGCAAUGGGCGAAAGCUUGACGGAGCAACGCCGCGUGAGUGAUGAAGGUCUUCGGAUCGUAAAACUCUGUUAUUAGGGAAGAAAAAAUGUGUAAGUAAAUAUGCACGUAGUGACGGUACCUAAUCAGAAAGCAACGGCUAACUACGUG
This 497-nucleotide ribosomal RNA is filed under the name uncultured bacterium. RNAcentral describes it as "partial 16S ribosomal RNA". It matches the Rfam family "Bacterial small subunit ribosomal RNA", at positions 28 to 507 of the family's 1533-position model. The record is from RNAcentral.